RNAcentral lists this ribosomal RNA (508 nucleotides) under Streptococcus suis. RNAcentral's name for it is "partial 23S ribosomal RNA". It matches the Rfam family "Bacterial large subunit ribosomal RNA", at positions 1 to 510 of the family's 2925-position model. Lineage: Bacteria; Bacillati; Bacillota; Bacilli; Lactobacillales; Streptococcaceae. The record is from RNAcentral.
UUAUAAGGUUAAGUUAAUAAGGGCGCACGGUGGAUGCCUUGGCACUAGAAGCCGAUGAAGGACGUGACUAACGACGAAAUGCCUUGGGGAGCUGUAAGUAAGCAAUGAUCCAGGGAUGUCCGAAUGGGGGAACCCGGCAGGUAAUGCCUGUCACUCACUACUGUUAAGGUAGUGAAGAGGAAGACGCAGUGAACUGAAACAUCUAAGUAGCUGCAGGAAGAGAAAGCAAAAGCGAUUGCCUUAGUAGCGGCGAGCGAAACGGCAGGAGGGCAAACCGAGGAGUUUACUCCUCGGGGUUGUAGGACUGCAAUGUGGACUUAAAGAGUAUAGAAGAACUACCUGGGAAGGUAGGCCAAAGAGAGUAAUAGCCUCGUAUUUAAAAUAUUUUUUAUACCUAGCAGUAUCCUGAGUACGGCGAGACACGCGAAAUCUCGUCGGAAUCCGGGAGGACCAUCUCCCAACCCUAAAUACUCUCUAGUGACCGAUAGUGAACCAGUACCGUGAGGGA